AUCCAUCAAAUAAUUAUUUAAAUUACACUACAAUAUAUAUUAUCAUAAUAAUCCAUCAAAUAUUGGUAGACUAAUGUUUGGAAGAAUGAGUUAAAAAUUAGAUAUACUAACCGAUUGCGAGUACUAAUAUUUGGAAGAAAUGAGCGAAAAUAGAAAUCUACACGCUUCAAUCCACCACCGGGUUAACCCGACCAAGGCAAGCGUUUUCGCGUUUUUCAGCUUUGGGAAGGUUUUUCGCGUUUUGGGGAGGGAGGAAAUGUGAUUAGGGUCUGCGAUUUUGGGGGAGAUCUGAGAUAUAUGGUUCAACCGAAAAACGCCGAUCAGGUUGGCGUUUUUAAGUUAAACACGCCAAUGAACUUGGCGUUUUAUUUAGUAAAGACGCCAUCCAGAUUGGCGUGUUCAAAUUUAAGUAUUUUGGUUAAAAAUACGAGCAGAAUACGGUGUCAUUGUAAAACGCCAACAUAGUUGGCGUUUUACAGUAUAGACACGCCAAUCUCAAUGGCGUUUUUACUUAUGAACACGCCAACUUCAUCGGCGUUUUUCCCAUAAAUGGAAUUGAUAACAAAAUGGGUACAUUUGCGUUAUUUUAAAGGCCAAGUGGCCUAUAUACGCGAUUUCCUCAUGGUUAAUGCACCGCUGUUUAAUGGCCUACUUCUUAUGCUUGUUAUGGUGUGAGAUCUAGAAGCAUGCUCCUAUUUAUAAAUGUUGCAUUUCUCGGCUUUUGAUGCUAACUCUAUGGUUCUCUAAGUAUGCUUCUAAAUUCUAAGUUCUUGACUGCCCAUGGUAUGUUCUAAUGAUGCAGAGGGUGUGUAGUUUUUACUGUUUCCUCCCAUUCACUUUAUCAAGAUUUGAAAUGAGCUCUAACAUGCUUGAUGCUACAUUAUGAUAGAACUUAUGUUUUAAGUUUGAAAGGAGGUGGAGGUUACCUUCUGUGCAUUGCUCUUGAUUCUCUGCUCCUAGACUCGAUCUCUCUCUCACUCUCCAACUCACUGUUUUGCUGAUUGGAAAAAUGUUGUGGUAAAGGGAGUGAGGCCGAGGAGUGCACCGCAUAUAUAGGGAUCUUGUAACUGAAAGCCUGCAAGGCAGAUUUUGGUGCAGAAAUGAAACCUCAAGUGCAAAAGGCGGGGCAGAGGCUGUUAGUUGAAAACUGCAGAGCUGAUGCAGUGAUCCCCUCUUUUCUUAGCUUGGAGCAGCCUUUGGUCAUGGUUGGGAGUGCAGUGGCUGUUGGAGCUGUAAUGCAGAGUUGCUGCAGCUUUCCUCUCCUUUCCUGGCUCGUGGCUGCCUAUGGUGAUGGCUGGUUGUGGCCGAUGGUAGCCCUCGGCAGUUAGGCUGCAUUCGUGGUCUAGGAAAGAGGUGGCUUGGUCUCGUGAAAGAAAUAGAUUCAAGGCGUUUAGCUCUUUUUUAUCCCUAUGUAUAUUUUUCUCUUUUUUUUUCCCUUUUUUUUUGUGUACACUAUAUCAUAGCUUGGAAUAUAUCAAUGUUGUAUUUUAUUUACUUAAAGGAAUAAACGAACACGUACUCAUAUUUUUUUA
Molecule: long non-coding RNA, 1532 nt
Organism: Salvia splendens (bonfire salvia)
Lineage: Eukaryota; Viridiplantae; Streptophyta; Magnoliopsida; Lamiales; Lamiaceae
Exons: 2
Source: RefSeq, a predicted model, not a curated record